UACGGGGGGGGCAAGCGUUGUUCGGAAUUACUGGGCGUAAAGGGUGCGUAGGCGGCUUUUUAAGUCAGAUGUGAAAACUCUGGGCUCAACCCAGAGCCUGCAUCUGAAACUGGAGAGCUUGGGUUCUGGAGGGGAAAGCGGAAUUCCUGGUGUAGCAGUGAAAUGCGUAGAUAUCAGGAGGAACACCGGUGGCGAAGGCGGCUUUCUGGACAGAUACCGACGCUGAGGCACGAAAGCUAGGGGAGCAAACAGG
This 253-nucleotide ribosomal RNA is filed under the name uncultured bacterium. RNAcentral's name for it is "partial 16S ribosomal RNA". It matches the Rfam family "Bacterial small subunit ribosomal RNA", at positions 524 to 776 of the family's 1533-position model. The record is from RNAcentral.